Molecule: ribosomal RNA, 232 nt
Filed under: uncultured bacterium
Lineage: Bacteria
Description: partial 16S ribosomal RNA
Rfam family: Bacterial small subunit ribosomal RNA
Source: RNAcentral
GAUCCUGGCUCAGGAUGAACGCUAGNGGCAGGCUUAACACAUGCAAGUCGAGGGGCAGCAUAAUGGAUAGCAAUAUCUAUGGUGGCGACCGGCGCACGGGUGCGUAACGCGUAUGCAACCUACCUUUAACAGGGGGAUAACACUGAGAAAUUGGUACUAAUACCCCAUAAUAUCAUAGAAGGCAUCUUUUAUGAUUGAAAAUUCCGAUGGUUAGAGAUGGGCAUGCGUUGUA